This 197-nucleotide ribosomal RNA is filed under the name uncultured bacterium. RNAcentral describes it as "partial 16S ribosomal RNA". It matches the Rfam family "Bacterial small subunit ribosomal RNA", at positions 1303 to 1500 of the family's 1533-position model. The record is from RNAcentral.
GGCUGAAAUUCGCCUUCAUGAAGCUGGAAUUGCUAGUAAUGGCAGGUCAGCAUACUGCCGUGAAUACGUUCCCGGGCCUUGUACACACCGCCCGUCACACCAUGAGAGUUGGGAAUACCCGAAGCCUGUGAGCUAACUUUUAGAGGCAGCAGUCGAAGGUAGAAUCAAUGAUUGGGGUGAAGUCGUAACAAGGUAUC